AAAGGCACAAAAAGAAAAAGCAAUUAAAAAAAAACCCUAAAGGUUCAGCAUCUACAGAAUGGGUCUGAGUGCUCGGCUGGGGUUUGGGGGCAAACGAAAAAACUGGACUGCAUGGGUGAUGAAAAGGCUUCCUGACGACGAUCGGGUGGGCGAGCUCAAUCAACCAAAGCUGCAAAGUUCAAUUUUGUGGGCAAUUUCUUAAUCUGCAGAUUACGAAGCUUAUAUUGAAGAAUCUUGGAUGGAUUCCGAUCCUUCAAUUUUUCGUUGGAUUUGCUCCAUCACUGGAGAACCGAUCUGGUAUUGACAUGUUGGCUUCACUUUAGUUCCUCCCUUCAGGUAUAUCUCUCACUUUAACUUUUUAUUAGGUUCUCUAUACAGCACACCAACGAAUUCAAUGUUACGGGGCAGACCAUUAUCUUUAAGCAAGGAGAAAGAUAUGCCUCGAUUCAAUUAGUUGGAGUAUUGAUUUACCAAACAUGGUUUCGAUGGAUGUCACCAAAUCUUGCCUUUAGUCAAUUAGCCAGGUACGUCCCUUUCUGGAUGAUCUUUCAAUUCAACUCAAUUAUGUUUAUGUUCUGUAUUUCAAUAGGUGACAAGUUCUUUAGCUCUAUUUCUGACGAGUUCGAAUACGUCAGCCACAUCAAUAGACUAAUGGGUUUUCUAACUUUCUUAUUCAAUUGACUCUAUUGCUCACUCUUAUUGUUGAUAAGUGUUGAAGUUGGAGCUUCUUAAGAAGAACUAAAACAUGAUUUUCAAUUAAUGAGAAUGUUAAGCUCACCAUCGGGAUUGGGGACACGAGAAAGAUGAGUGCAAGGGACUCCUUGGCAUCAAAGACCCUGAUGCUCCCACCAGGGAAGAGUUGGCUGCUGUUCUUGAAGAAGUCCCUUCUUUUAAGUUCCUAUGCAUAAUGCUCACUUAUUGUCGUUUAUUCAAACAAAGAUUCCAUGAGUGCAAUGAACCUAGCAAAUAUCAAAUGGUGGUUGGAAUCUUAAAUUCAAACAAGGUCUUUGCCUCGAUACAAAGUAGUAUAUACCAAUUUUGUAGGUGAGAUUGAAAUUAUAGAUUGGAAUUGUUCUGGAUUGUUUUGUUUAAUAUGAUUCCCGUGGUACUUGUAUGAAUAAUGUUGCAUGCAAGGUCUCCAGUACUAUACUCUUUGUUUCAAUAUUAAAUCAUGUUCUAGUACUAUACUCUUUGUUUCAAUAUUAAAUCAUCUUCUACAGUUUUAGUGUUUUAUGGUGGCAUAUCAGUGGAUGAGGCAUUACAUGACACUAUGACAGUGGCAUUUUAUCUACUGAAACAACCUUCUGUGCCUCUGGGUUCACAAUAUUUAAUCACUUGUGCCCCUGAGUUGUCUUUAUUUAUUAUUGCUCUUGUUUACUUUCUCCUUUCUUGUUCUUUGUACAACUUAAGUCUCUUUCAUAGUUGUAUUUGUUUCACUGAGGAAAAUUUCUCCAAUCUGCUAUAAGCAAUUUUAGAGUGAGAUGUUUCUGUCAAGCAUUUGGGUCAUUUGUAAAGUUUAUGCGGAGAAGUAUGUGUAGCUGAAAUUUAAUUCUCAUCUUCACACCUUAAUUGCAUGCUCUGAUCUGUAAGUGGGCUCCUGUUGCCAUGCU
Long non-coding RNA from Rosa rugosa (rugosa rose), 1610 nucleotides. RefSeq lists it as uncharacterized. The record is from RefSeq and is a predicted model, not a curated record. The transcript has 3 exons. NCBI's taxonomy places the organism in Eukaryota, Viridiplantae, Streptophyta, Magnoliopsida, Rosales, Rosaceae.